UUGCAGAUCUCAAGCUAGAGGUGCAGAAUGUUUUUGAUCACAUGCCAAACGAUGGUCCCGACAAGAUUUCAUGGGUACAUGUAUGGGGACACUUCUGCUUGUCUUAUGGUGAUCAAAAGUUGAUCCAAGACACCGACCUUAUCGUAAACUAUGACAUCGAGGAUGCUGAUCAGCUUCAUUUCAUUAGACAUGUCUCCACCUGCACCAACUCGACAAAGAUUCCGAAAGCUAAAGAUACUGUUGCCCAAAACCAUUCAUGUCAG
Hibiscus syriacus is the source of this 263-nucleotide long non-coding RNA. RefSeq lists it as uncharacterized. The transcript is spliced from 3 exons. Lineage: Eukaryota; Viridiplantae; Streptophyta; Magnoliopsida; Malvales; Malvaceae. The record is from RefSeq and is a predicted model, not a curated record.